Molecule: unclassified non-coding RNA, 1612 nt
Filed under: Hevea brasiliensis (rubber tree)
Lineage: Eukaryota; Viridiplantae; Streptophyta; Magnoliopsida; Malpighiales; Euphorbiaceae
Source: RNAcentral
GCAAGAAAAAAAUGUGGUUCCUGUCAAGGAGAAGAAUUGCACAAUAAGCUUCAAGGAAAGACUGCAAUAGGACAAUCAAGCCAGUAACCUCCACAAGAAAAGUUCCCUCUCAGAGCUGCAUAUAAGCCCAGGAGCCAUCCAACAUGGCCACUUGAAAUUAAAACAUCAUGCCAUGCAGGACCGGGCUACAAGUAUUAUAGAUAGUCAAUAAACAUACCAUGCAUCACAAAAAAAAAAAUGUUUAGCUCAAAAUCCAAACUAUUCCCAUCCAUUGCUUCCAGCAUCAGGUAAAAAAAAAAAAAAACUAUAUGAAUAAAAACUGGCCAACUGCUGUUCAAAUAUUGUUUUGUAGAUCUCUAGAAGGAUGUAAGUUUGUAAGGGAACAAGGAAGUGAAGCAAAAAUGGAAUACUAUAAUCCACCAUGAAGACACAAACACACAAUUAUCACUCCCUAUGCAUGACUUGAUGUGUAUUGUCAUCUUCAUUCUCUAUAUAUACACAAUCUUAAAAGGGGAAAUUCAUUACCUGCACCAAUGUACACUCAGACCUCUUUGACAAAGAACUGUCUGCUCUAAUUCCAGGUGAAAAAACAUCCAUACCAGUUUUUGUGCCAGCAGUCUUGUACAAGAAAUCCCAGUUCAGAAUUUGAAGCAUGAGACGCAGUGCAGCAGUACAGACCUUAACCUCAGGUACCUCAGAAUGAGAUUCAGUUAUACUCUUUGUGACACCAACAGCAGUAUCUCGUGCCCAACAGUAGAAUGUCUUAAGAUAGUCUAGCUCCAAGGACAUCCGGCAUUGCUCAUGAAAUUCCCGAGGAAGACCCAUGGCACUAGAAGUAGAAGGUGAGAACUCAGACACCAAAGAUUCUAGGAAAUUAAUUCCAGAGAACUGCACAUCCACACCAUGAAUGCCAAGAAUAGCCUGGUUCACCUGAUAAAAAAAAGUCUCCUUUUCAACAGCUGUAAAAUCAAGCCAGCCCCUCUUGAUCAACUGAGCAGCCACAGAAGAAACCUUGGCUUGGACAUAUCCCUCAGGCGAACUAGCAUGUUGCAUAACAUAGUAAAGACAAAAACUUAUCAAGCUUUUCUUGUCCUCAGUAGUGAGGAAACCCCACUCCCUGAUAGCAGCAUCUCGAAUUGCUGCAGCCGCUUGAAACCUCGCAUUUGCUACUUGAGAAUUCUCAAGAAUGAACUGGCAUGCCUUGUAUGGCUGAGGCGACUGAUUUAGCGAUAGGAUAGUUGCCUCUGCGGCUGCCGGAUUCAUAUGCAUCUGAAUAGAAGAGCAAGCGAACUCGAUGGCCUGCAUGGUGGACUGGAGCUGGGCUAAAUCGGCGGAGCCUCCUUGCUGCUGCAUCAUCUUAUGCUUCUGUAGAGUAGAUGAAUCCACAAUCUAGAUAGAAAAAGGAGAUGGGUUAUUGACGAAAUCAAUGGCGCUUCAGAGUUCGAUUAGAUUGAUGGUUUUGCUAGCGUUAAAGGUAAUGAAAAGAGGGAUAGAGAAAGUGGAACUGUAAAAGACCAUGAGUGAGAAGAAGAGAAUCGGCACCAAUUGAGGCUGAAAGGAGAGAGCAAAUCCUCAAGAAAGAGGAGCUUUCACCACUCAAGGCGGGGCUUCU